RNAcentral lists this long non-coding RNA (201 nucleotides) under Mytilus galloprovincialis (Mediterranean mussel). Lineage: Eukaryota; Metazoa; Mollusca; Bivalvia; Mytilida; Mytilidae. The record is from RNAcentral.
ACAACAUAGACUGUCUUUUCAAUUCUGCACAACGGCAGGUCGAGUUAAAACUUAUCACCAUAGAGUAUAUAUUUUUUUUAUUUCAUUAUUGAUGCACAAUUGGUUUUCCAAAACAUAUCGUGAUAUAUUGAAAUGUGAGUAAGAUGCAUAUAUUUCAUUUUUUUUAAAUGCAAAUGAACGAAAUUCAACACAUGACCGAGA